RNAcentral lists this ribosomal RNA (207 nucleotides) under uncultured fungus. RNAcentral describes it as "partial small subunit ribosomal RNA". The stretch from base 60 to 207 matches the Rfam family "Eukaryotic small subunit ribosomal RNA", at positions 715 to 864 of the family's 1831-position model. The record is from RNAcentral. Lineage: Eukaryota; Fungi.
GGUGUAGCCGGUGGUCCCUCUGGGUACUGCCUGGUUUAGCCCUUCCUUCUGGAAAGCCAAUGUUUACUUUACUGUGAGCUUGGUGCUUCAGGACUUUUACCUUGAAAAAAUUAGAGUGUUCAAAGCAGGCUUACGCUUGAAUACAUUAGCAUGGAAUAACGGAAUAGGACGCUUGAUUCUAUUUUGUUGGUUUCUAGGAUCAACGUA